Molecule: long non-coding RNA, 270 nt
Filed under: Trifolium pratense (red clover)
Lineage: Eukaryota; Viridiplantae; Streptophyta; Magnoliopsida; Fabales; Fabaceae
Description: long non-coding RNA (TPRA_LNC012883)
Source: RNAcentral
UGUACCGGGCCAUGGACCAGGGUGUGAUUUGUUAAGGCCCAAUACGAAAAAGCCCAAUGGGAGCAUCUAAAGGAGAAGUGUGAAAACAACCAUGAAAAACACAUGAUAAGCGUGAUCCACCAUGANNNNNNNCUUGGAGAAGAAGGAAGAAGCUUGGAGAAGAAGGAAAGUAACCGCCCACUACCCAUGAAUUCCUCUCCAAGCAAGGCGGUUAUCAAGCAACAAGAGGGAGAUGUUUUGCCUAUAAAUAGGAUCUUCUUUAAGAGAACA